RNAcentral lists this ribosomal RNA (496 nucleotides) under uncultured bacterium. RNAcentral's name for it is "partial 16S ribosomal RNA". It matches the Rfam family "Bacterial small subunit ribosomal RNA", at positions 28 to 506 of the family's 1533-position model. The record is from RNAcentral.
GAUGAACGCUGGCGGCGUGCCUAAUACAUGCAAGUCGAGCGAACGGACGAGAAGCUUGCUUCUCUGAUGUUAGCGGCGGACGGGUGAGUAACACGUGGAUAACCUACCUAUAAGACUGGGAUAACUUCGGGAAACCGGAGCUAAUACCGGAUAAUAUUUUGAACCGCAUGGUUCAAAAGUGAAAGACGGUCUUGCUGUCACUUAUAGAUGGAUCCGCGCUGCAUUAGCUAGUUGGUAAGGUAACGGCUUACCAAGGCAACGAUGCAUAGCCGACCUGAGAGGGUGAUCGGCCACACUGGAACUGAGACACGGUCCAGACUCCUACGGGAGGCAGCAGUAGGGAAUCUUCCGCAAUGGGCGAAAGCCUGACGGAGCAACGCCGCGUGAGUGAUGAAGGUCUGCGGAUCGUAAAACUCUGUUAUUGGGGAAGAACAUAUGUGUAAGUAACUGUGCACAUCUUGACGGUACCUAAUCAGAAAGCCACGGCUAACUACGU